This is a non-coding RNA of Pelobates cultripes (western spadefoot toad), 231 nucleotides long. NCBI's taxonomy places the organism in Eukaryota, Metazoa, Chordata, Amphibia, Anura, Pelobatidae. The record is from the annotation of a GenBank genome assembly.
CUUCACAGUAUAGUGAAUAAGGUAAAGUGUCUCCGGUGGACACCAAAAUUCACUAAACUGGCCAUAAAUCAUAAUUCUCAUGAGUGUAAAACUAAUCAGCGAUUCUAGAGAUUCUCAUUGUACCAUGACGUGUCUGUUAUGGAGAAUUUUACUUGUUGCCAAAAUUACAUUGUAAAAUCUUAAACGAGAAGUUGUUUUCAUUUAAUUAGAGUUGGAAUAUUGGUAUUUCCC